CAUUUUUCCCCUUUUCCUAAAGCAGAAUGAUGUACAGCACUUGGACGAAACUUCCCUGUAGAUAAAAUGACACCCAGUGGUCCUGUUGGAAUGCUGUCUGCUAUCUCUCAGAUUUAAAGCAGGUUUCUCUGCUCUCCAGCACAAAGCCUGCCCAGAAGAGGAACCAGUCAAUAUUGCCUGAAUGAGUGAUGACGAAUACCACAGAGAAAGUAUACAUGAAGUCCUUUUUGUGUAACUUUUCAUGGCUUGAAGUUGAUGUGGAAGACAUCACUUUGGUAUGCAGCAGAAACAAACUUCAAAAGUCCAUAGUAUCAGGCUCUAGACAAUUUUCACUAACAAUUUACUCUGCAUCUUCCUAAAAAAAUUGAAUUAUAGAUGGUUAAUAACAAUGAAAAUCUAUACUACUUACUACUCAGUCUACCAACUAUACAAUGCCACAGUACAAUCGGAGUCAUCAUAGAAAAGAACCUGGGGACAAAAUAUCUUUUCCAUCUCUUUAAAGACUGAAACAUAUGAUUGACCCAUGGCCAAUGUCAUGUUUAAGAAACUUAGAAAAAUUCAACAUUAGACUUAUAGUGCUGUCAUCAUUGUUUCGCCUGCUGCUAAAACCCAUAUUUUUCUAAACCUCCUACAGUUUUGGACUUGCAGGGCUAUCUACAAUAGAGAUUUACUUUCUAACAUGUUCAGAAACUGUAAUAAACCUUUGCUAUUGUCACCUGCAAAGCCCAGCAGUUAGUGCAGGCUGUUUCUUCUCCUUUGCCUCCUGCAGGAAGUGCCUGUGCUUCAGGGUUGGUGCAGGAUACAAGGUGGGUAGAACUUGUGUGUGUGUUCUACAGGGUCAGCCACUUCAAUCAACGGCAGGUUAUAGAUGGCAUUUCUCCUCUGGGAGGAGAGUGUUACCUUUAGUGAAACUAUUCACCUGGUUGGAGCUAAUCAACUUACUCAGAGCACUGGGCUUGAACCUAAAGAAAAUCAUGCUGUGAUCAGUAGAAAAAAAAAGGUUUUUAUGUCUCAUUCACCACCAAAGUAUAGUAGAAAAUUAUGGACCCCCCCCAAUUUCUCGCCUUUUACUUGCAAUAUUUGAAUCUGUGUGUGUGUGUGUGUGCACAUACACACCUCUGUGUGUUUUUUCUUGUCAUUCUGCUGUCACUGCCUCCUCCAUGAUUUUCUCAUUGCUAGUCUACUACAGGAAAAGUUCCAAGAUAGUAAAAGUUUUAGAGUAAAACAUCAAAACACUUCCCUUUCCAUUGUAUUUAAAGAGGCUCAAGACUAGGUGAAUAAAUAUAUUUACAAAAUGUCUGCUAUGUCCUUAGAUACAUAUUAAUGGUCAUUUGACUCUGAUAGCUGGAAACACUGAUUCACUUCAUUUCCUGCACAUUGGAAUCACCCAGGGAGGUUUGUAAUAUAUUAAUAAUUGAGUCUCAACUCCAGUGUUUCUGAUUUAAUUGGUCUAGAUCACCACAGGCUUGCAGUUUGGCUAUAAGCCUUUAAAUGAAAGGCUCUUGGGUCUUUAGCCCAGAACUUCUCUUCCCUCCUCCUCUGCCUUUUAGGAAAAACACAGAAACAGAAACCCACAUGAGCUAAGCAUGUGUAGUCUGCUACUAAUGAAUCAAGUGCAAAAAUUAGAAAAACACAUAGUUUCUGACAACAUGCUGGACAAAGAGAGAGAAACAAGAUAUCCUCUCAGAAGAAACUCAAAAAAUUUAACAUUUGCUUUCCUCCUCUUCCUCCUUCUCCUUUUUUUUUUUUUUUUUUUGGUUGGAGUCUCACUCUCUUGCCCUGGUUGGAAGGCUGGAGUGCAGUGGCACAAUCUCUGCUCACUACAACCUCUGCCUCUGGGGUUCAAGUGAUUCUCAGACUCUCAAGUAGCUGGGACCACAGGCAUACCCCACUUGCCUGGCUAAUUAUUGUGUUUUUAGUAGAGACAGGGUUUCAACAUGUUGACCAGGCUGCUCUCGAAUUCCUGACCUCAAGUGAUCUGCCCACCUUGGCCUCCCAAAGUGCUGGUAUUACAGGUGUGAGCCACUGCGCCUGACCCCAUUUGGUUUCUAGAGUUAAAACAGACACUUGUUAGUUUAUCCUGUGGAUAUUUCCUGUGCCUGUCCAUUUAGUCACAAACUGAGGGCUCCUUUGAGCUUUAAACCACACCCAACUCUUCUGAGCAGGCCUGAAUUUUGAACAGAUUAAAUAGACUUACCUACAUAGGAUGAUUUGAAGGAGAUGCAGCAAAAUAAGUCUCUUUUGCAAAUAUCUCCUUUACCUGAAUUUAAACGUAAACAAUUUAUAUUUCAUGUUGUGUAUGUACUUUUGGAAUUGAAGAAUCUGUGUACUAAAAUGGAACUAUUUCUGGUGGAGGAGAGAAUAAAAGAAGCUCACUUAAGUCAGAGUUGGUAAAUAAUUUCCAGUUUACUUGAUGAUUCCAAUUGACUGGUAAUGAUGGUUAAGGGUAGUGCAUUGAUAGAUAAUAUAUCAUGAUCAAGUUACAUGAAUUUCAAGAAGGAAAAGUUGGUUUACACGUUUACACUGGCAAAAAAAAUCUAUAUGUAUGAUCUACCAGAUUAAAGAAACAAGUUAUUAUGUCACAAUGUGUAGAAACUAUUUGGUAAACUUAACACCCAUUUGUGUGUGUUUUUUUUUAAAAGCUCAGAAUAAAAAUCAAAGCUUUCUUAACCUGACAAAAUUUGUCUAUCAAAAAUUUACAGUAAAUAUAAAUUUUAACGGUGAAGUAAGUUAAAAUCAGGAACAAGAAAAGAAUGUCUAUUAUCAUCACUUCUGUUUGAUAUAAUAGACAGUGUAAUAAGGACAAAGGGGCAAAAAAAAUGAAAAGGACUGGAAAGGAAGCAACAAAACCCCCUUUAUUCAUAUAUAAUAUGAUUUCCACAUUAAAGACCCAAAAUAAUCUGCCAAAAAUUAGAGCUAGUAAAAGUGUCUAGUAAAAUGCUUGAAUGUGAG
This 2952-nucleotide long non-coding RNA is filed under the name Homo sapiens (human). RNAcentral describes it as "HSALNT0203756". The record is from RNAcentral. Lineage: Eukaryota; Metazoa; Chordata; Mammalia; Primates; Hominidae.